GGAGUAGCCAAGUGGUAAGGCGGUGGCUUUUGGUGCCAUGAUUCGGGGGUUCGAAUCCCUCCUC
This 64-nucleotide transfer RNA is filed under the name marine eukaryotic metagenome. It matches the Rfam family "tRNA", at positions 5 to 66 of the family's 71-position model. From Rfam's summary of the family: Transfer RNA (tRNA) molecules are approximately 80 nucleotides in length. Their secondary structure includes four short double-helical elements and three loops (D, anti-codon, and T loops). The record is from RNAcentral.